Long non-coding RNA from Myotis daubentonii (Daubenton's bat), 5208 nucleotides. RefSeq lists it as uncharacterized. The transcript has 3 exons. Lineage: Eukaryota; Metazoa; Chordata; Mammalia; Chiroptera; Vespertilionidae. The record is from RefSeq and is a predicted model, not a curated record.
AGGGAGGGAGAGAUAGAAACAGCAUUGAUUCAGAGAGAGUCAUCCAUCAUGCCCUCUCCUGGGGAUGGAGCCCACAACCAGGCAUGUGCCCUCCAGCCAUCGGGGCAAUGAACUUGAAGCAGUGUCAAGCCCAUUCCUGAGCUUUCUCACACCCGCCAGCCCCCCCUGCCAUCGGGCUCCCCGCAUGAUCUAGAGGGGGGUUGGCUCCAUCAACCCAGUGUCCGUCCCAGCUCUGCACCAUUUGCUUGUGUGGCUCCUGCCAGUCACAGUCUGCUCUACGCCUCGUGUCUGUGAGGUGUGGCUGGCUCUGUAGGCAAGUGCACAAGGGCAGGGAAUCUGGAAUCAAAUUGACUGGGUUCAAAACUUGCUUCUGUCACCACCUGUGCAAUGUAGGCAAAAUUCUUAAAGUCUCCCAGCCUCUCGUGUCCCACCUGUAAAAUGGGAGAAUAAAAACACUAACUUAGAGUUUGUGGGAGAAUGAAAUGGCAUAAGGCGUAAGCAUUUAACACUGUGCUGAGUGCAAAAUAAGCCCUCAAUCGGCUACCGGUAUGUCUUUGCACUUGACCUCUUUAUUGCUCUACACUGAGGCAGAAUGAAGCCAGCUAACGCCAUCUGAGGAACUUUCCGUCUCCUCUGGGUCACACUUCAUGGCCAUUGUUGCUCAAUAGUACAAUUACAGAACCGCUCGCCCGGCUGGCGUGGCUCAGUGCUUGAGCAUUGACCUAUGACUCAGAAGGUCAUGGUUCAAUUCCUAGUCAGGGCAUGUGCCCAAAUUGCAGGCUUGAUCUCUAGUGUGGGGCAUGCAGGAGGCAGCCUAUCAAUGAUUCUUGUUUAUCAUUGAUGUUUCUAUCUCCCUCUCUGUCGCCCUUCCUCUCUGAAGUCAAUAUGUUACAGAAAACCGGAGAAGAACCAAGCAACGCUUAGAGAGAUGGAGUUACAUUUAUUAUUAUUACACGCACGGCCCAGAGGAAAAUGUCUCUCAAAUUCUGGGCCCCAUCACACACUGUGCGACCUUGGGCCAGUCACUCAGCCUCUCUGAGCUGCAGUUUCCUCACCUGGAAGUGGUAACAUUCACAGUCUGGUCGCAGGGCUAUUGCGAGGCACACCCGAGAUCUGUCGCUGACAUUGGUGUGCAGCCUGUCCGAUGCCGGACACAGGUAAUGAAGGGAAAGUGGAGCCUCUUGAAUCUUAACUGAAGGAUCCUAGAAUCUACCAUUAUGCCCCUGGAUCUACUGGGAAAGGGGGAAAUGAAAUUCUUUGAAGGCCACUGGCUUUACAGGAGAAAGGAAGCCCCACAGAGCAGAAGGGAGGCGUGGUGUGGGCAAAGGUCAAAGCCCCAAAGGCAGCGCCUCGUGCACCACAGGGCACAGGGGGCCCCGAGCCUGGCGUGAAAAGAGGGCCUCCAUCGCUUCUCCCAGGCUGUGUGGCCUGGGGAAAGUCCCACGGCCUCUCUGAUCCUCAGUUUCUUGAUCCGUGAAAUGAAAACGGUAAUACCCACCCUGUUUACUGCGUUGUCAAAGGAACCACAUGAAGUUUGUGAACAACCAAACAAUGUCACGUAACGAGUAGAAUAUGAUUAUGUCAGUGACGUGCUCAAAACGUUGGUUACUCUGGAAAGUUAGUUUGCAGUAGGAAAUUCAGAAUGAAAGAAAGUAUAAAGGCCAUCGGAGAUUUAAAAAUAGAUUGAUGAGAUCAUGAUAAUAGCAGAAGGGCACUUUUGAGGGGAGGGUGCCAAGAAACAGAGAGAAGAGCUGGGACCUCAACAAGUGGGACCUCAACAAGGAUCCUGGAUUUGAUUCCGGUCAAGGGCACCUUGGCUCGGGGUGGGGGGAGCCGUCAGGCCCCCGGGGAGGAAGCUGGGGUUUGCUCACUGAUGUGCUGAGUAAUGGGGUUGGGGAACAGUCCAUGAUGUGAAUGUUUUCUGUGAGUCAUUGUACCAUCCAUACUGAAGGUCACAUGCAAAAGCCAGAGCCAGGAACAGGCAUGCCAGCCGAGGCUAGGACUGUGUCCAAGAACCCAUGGAGAAGAUGCGCUGGCCCAGGAGGGUGGUGAAAUGAGUUGGACACUCCAGGCAAGUUCAGAGAAAGCCCAGCAAGAGGCCAUGGAGGAGGUCAGAAGGAACACUCGGCUGUCUGGGCAGAGGAGACUGCCAGCAAGCGUAAGGGCCCGCCCCGAGGAUGGGGUGGGAGGCCAAAAAGGGCAAGAAGUUUGGAAGGAACUGAAAUCCAUGGCAGGGCGGUGAGGAUGCUACUCAGGAUGCUACUCAGCCCUGAAGGGAGCCUGCCAGGCCCCUGGCAUAGGGUCAGAGCUGCAGGGCAAAGGGAGUAUUGAUUCCCAGGAGUGAGACACCUGGAUUGUGUCUUGGUCCUGCUCCCCCAGGGAGCAGUUAGGGACCACAGGCUCCUUGGGACCUGGAGCUAUGUCUCAUUCCUCUCUGUAGCCUUACUGCCCCGCACAGAGCCUGGUGUUCAGAGGGCACUCAGUCAGUGUACCUUGGAAUGAACCAACAAAUGGAUGGCAAAUGAAUACGGCCACGUUUAAAAUACCAACAUGUUUUGAACUUUCUCUUUUUGGUGACUCUUGGCAGACUUUGGCCUUCUUUCUAGUGCCAGAUAGCUAGUGUGGACAGCACCCCACUGUCCCUCCUGAGACCCCCUGGCCAUUGACCACGUCUCGGGUCUCCGUCCCUUCUCUUUCUAUUGUGUAUGUUCUCGAGAUGACUGUGCUCCAUUUAGUGGCUUGUUUCCAUGACAACUUGUUCCUUCAUACCGUCUAGUUCCCAGGCAUUACCUACUGUAUCUUAUUCAGUUCCCAGCCUUGCUUACAUCCUGUCCUGAUGCAGAAUGUCUUCCAUUAAGGGAACAUCAUCUUCUCAGAAAUUAACUUUAAAAAUGGCAUUAAACAGAUUAUGGCAUGUUGGGUGUGUUUUUUCAACUAGAAGUAAAAAAUUUCUCCACCACUUCCUUGCCAAGAAACACAUUUCCUUGUCGGCUGUUUUCAUCGACUCUUUUCAAAACUUUUUGUCUCCACACGUAUUGAAAGCCAGCCUUUAGGAGAAGCAUUUGGCUCCCAACAUAAUUUGGCUCUCAAACUUUCACCCACUCCCCUGGACUCCACCCCCUGCUGGCCACUGCCACGAUCACAGUGCCGCAGUCUCACCUUCCAUACUGAAGAUCUGAACCAUCUCCAAAAAGAGUUGUGACACAUGACUCACUUCUAUUUUACUGUCAGUUUUGUUAGUCUGGUCCAAAUGUGCUUUUAGGGCUCCCAACGUGGUUUUCAUCACGUUACUGAAGAAGGAUCCAUCUGACCCAUCCCUGGAACUCAUCUUGCUCCACUCCUUGGGUGCGUCUUGACCACGGUCUCUUCCUCAGCAAUAAAACUUGUGAGACUUUUAGGAAAGUACUCAGAAAGGGCCAACGAAUGCCGGUUGAGGGUCAUCUCAUCUUUCUUCUCAAGAUGGACAUUCACAUCAGCUGCCAGAACUCUCUACCACGCCCCUUGCGGCCAGCUGUGGAUAGGCUUGUCCUUGGUCCAUCAACCAGACCUGUCCAUCACUUGAGGCCGUUCACCACCGACCACCCCUGCCUUCCAGUGAAGCAUCACAUUGGUCCAGGCAUUUGGUUUCUCUCACUUAUAAGGCCUCUCAUGACUCAAUUCAGUGUACUGCGGAGGUGUCCUGGCUAGAUCCGUCCCUCAGUGCUCAGAGAGCUUCUACACAGCGACCAUUUAUUGUGGCUGAGGUGUAACGCCAAGUUCCUUAGAAUAGCUUCCCUCUGACUGUGCAUCAUAAAUCCAAUUUUGAUUUCUCCUGCCCUUUUCAUGCCUGCAUUUAGAGCCAACAUGCACCGAAGGAUAUGGAAAGCUCAUCCUAUCUGUGCAGCUAUACCAUGACUAAAAAAUAUUUUCUAAAGAGUUAGUCUGCCCCUAGCCGGUUUGGCUCAGAGGAUAGAGAAUCGGCCUGCAGGUCAAAGGGUCCUGGGUUUCAUUCCGGUCAAGGGCAGGUACCUUGGCUGCAGGCUCCUCGCCACACCGGGCCUUGGUCAGAGCUCAUGCAGGAGGCAACCGUUCGAUGUGUUUCUCUCACAUCAAAGUUUCUCUCUGUCUUUCCCUCUCUCUCCCACUCUCCCUAAUAAACCAAUGGAAAAAUAUUCUUGGGUGAGGAUUAACCAAAAAAAAAAAAGAGCUAGUCUGCAUACUGUACAUGGGGGAAUUCGUGUGGGGGAAAGUCUUUGCUGGCCGUUCACUAUACUGGAUUGAAUUGUUUCCCUCCAAAAUUAUGUUCAAGCCCUAGUCCUCAGUACCAGCAAAGGUGAUCUUAUUUGGAAAGAGGGUCUUUGCAAGUGUAAUUAAGUUAAGAUGAGGUCCUACUGGAUUGGAGUGGGCCUAAUCCAAUCACUGCUGUUCUUACAUGAAGAGAGAAUAUUGACACAGGAGAACGGAGCCUGGCAUGUGAGGACGAAGGCAGAAGUUGGAGUUAUGUUGCCAGAAGACACAGAAAGCAAAGGCUCGCCAGCCAGCACCAGGAGGGAGAAGAGACAAGGAAGGGUUCUGCCCUAGAGACUUUGGAAGGAGCCCAGCCCUCCUGACACCUUGAAUGCCGCUUCUAACCUUGACAGCCAAAGAACUUGGAGGCCCUGAGAGGAGAAGCCAUGUAACCACCGUUCCAGGGCUAGCAAAGGGCAGCGCCAAACUCAGAAUCCUGUGCUCCUUCCAAAUGAGAAAUCAAGAACUGGAAAAGUGGGAGGGCUUAGAUCUAAGGAGGUAGGUUUUGUAGAACCUCACUCCAUAGCUGGGAACACACACGUUUCCCAAAGGAGGAUGUAUGGGGAUCAGGAUUCAACCUCUACUCUAGUUUUCAAAAUUAAUAUUUGAAUUCAUUCUGAACAUUUAAAGAUUGGGCACGUUCCUAUAAACACCUAGGUGCCUGGCUAUUUCAGGAAAAGUGAGCUGAUCUGUGAGAAAGUGAAUAAAAGCUGCCCCCAUUUCACGUUCAGGCUGGGCAGCCCCACCUAUGUGGCCAGCUGCACAAUUUAUAUGACCUACACGCCCCCGUGGGCCCUGGAGUUUGCAACCCCGGGGAGCGGGGAAGAAGGGUAGAGGCCCUGAGCCUGGGGGUGAGAGUUGUAAUGUCAGGGGGUGAAGAAGCCAAUCAAGGAACCACGAGACAAGCAGGGCCGGGGAGCCCAGGACAGAGUUUCCAUCUGU